GAUGAACGCUGGCGGCGUGCCUAAUACAUGCAAGUCGAGCGAACAGACGAGGAGCUUGCUCCUCUGACGUUAGCGGCGGACGGGUGAGUAACACGUGGAUAACCUACCUAUAAGACUGGGAUAACUUCGGGAAACCGGAGCUAAUACCGGAUAAUAUAUUGAACCGCAUGGUUCAAUAGUGAAAGACGGUUUUGCUGUCACUUAUAGAUGGAUCCGCGCCGCAUUAGCUAGUUGGUAAGGUAACGGCUUACCAAGGCAACGAUGCGUAGCCGACCUGAGAGGGUGAACGGCCACACUGGAACUGAGACACGGUCCAGACUCCGACGGGAGGCAGCAGUAGGGAAUCUUCCGAAAUGGGCGAAAGCCUGACGGAGCAACGCCGCGUGAGUGAUGAAGGUCUUCGGAUCGUAAAACUCUGUUAUUAGGGAAGAACAAAUGUGUAAGUAACUAUGCACGUCUUGACGGUACCGAAUCAGAAAGCCACGGCUGACUACGU
Molecule: ribosomal RNA, 496 nt
Filed under: uncultured bacterium
Lineage: Bacteria
Description: partial 16S ribosomal RNA
Rfam family: Bacterial small subunit ribosomal RNA
Source: RNAcentral